UGUUUAGUUUUUGUGGGCAUUCGGUGGAUGCCUUGGUACCAAGAGCUGAUGAAGGACGUGGCGGCCUGCGAUAAUCCUUGGGGAGUUGGCGAGCGAGCGUUGAUCUGAGGGUGUCCGAAUGGGGGAACCUGGCUGGGGUUGUGCCUGGUCACUAUCAUCUGAAUUCAUAGGGUGGUAGGGGGAACGCGGGGAAGUGAAACAUCUUAGUACCCGUAGGAGAAGAUAUUUCGUGAGUAGUGGUGAGCGAAAGCGGAUGAUGGCUAAACCGUGUGCGUGUGUGACUCGGCGGGGGUUGCGUGUGCGGGGUUGUGGGGCUCUUUUUUCUCAUCUUCUGCCGGGGGUGGGGGUGUGUGCGUGUGCGUGUGGUGAACAUCUUGGGAUGGGUGACCGUAGUGCGUGAUAGUCGUGUAGCUGUGUGUGUGCGUGUGUGCUGAAGGGGUGCCCGAGUAGUGCGGGGCUCGUGGAAUCUCGUGUGAAUCUGCCAGGACCACCUGGUAAGCCUGAAUACUUUUUGGUGACCGAUAGUGCAUAGUACCGUGAGGGAAUGGUGAAAAGUACCCCGGGAGGGGAGUGAAAUAGUGCCUGAAACCGGGUGCCUGUAAGCCGUCAGAGCCUGCUUUUGUUGGGUGAUGGCGUGCCUUUUGAAGAAUGAGCCUGCGAGUCAGUGAUGCGUGGCGUGCUUAACCCGUGUGGGGGAUGCGUAGCGAAAGCGAGUCUUAAUUUUGGGCGUGUGUCGCGUGUUGUGGACCCGAAGCGGGGUGAUCUACCUAUGGUCAGGGUGAAGCUAUGGUAAGACGUGGUGGAGGCCCGUACCCACCAGGGUUGAAAACCUGGGGGAUGAACUGUGGGUAGGGGUGAAAGGCCAAUCAAACUCCGUGAUAGCUGGUUCUCCCCGAAAUGCAUUUAGGUGCAGCGUCACACUGGGCUUGGUGGAGGUAGAGCUACUGGUUGGUUGAUGGGCCGUGUUGGUUACUGACGUCAGCUAAACUCCGAAUGCCAUUUCAAGUGGGUGUGGCAGUGAGACUGCGGGGGAUAAGCUUCGUGGUCGAGAGGGAAACAGCCCAGAUCAUCGGCUAAGGCCCCUAAGCGUGCGCUGAGUUGUUUUUGGGUAGGGGAGCGUCCUGCUCUGGGUGAAGCUGCCUGGUGAUGGGUGGUGGACGGGGUGGGAGUGAGAAUGCAGGCAUGAGUAGCGUUUCGUGGGUGAGAAUCCUACGCGCUGAUUGACUAAGGGUUCCAGGGGCAGGUUUGUCCGCCCUGGGUUAGUCGGGUCCUAAGGCGAGGCCGACAGGCGUAGUCGAUGGGUGACCAGUUGAUAUUCUGGUACCGUUUGUUUUCCGUCUAACGCUGCAUGCUUUCGCGUCGUGUGCUUGCCGUGCGUGGUGUUGUCUUUCGGGAUGAUGCUGAGUGUGGCUGUGUGUGGUGUGGGGUGUGUGGUGAGCAUUGGGGUGACGCAGGGAGGUAGUUGCUGCACACUGGUGGUUAUGUGUGUCUAAGGUUGUGGCCUGUUUCUUGGGUGAAAUCCGGGAAGCUGCGUUUGAUCGCGUGGGUGAGGGCUGAUGGGGCUGCCUGUUGGGGUGGCUAGUGGUGAUCCUGUACUGCCGAGAAAAGCCUGGAUGUGAGGAAGAUGAGCGCCCGUACCCUAAACCGACUCUGGUGGUCAGGUAGAGUAUACCGAGGCGUGCGAGUGAAUCAUGGUUAAGGAAUUCGGCAAAUUGCCCCCGUAACUUUGGGAUAAGGGGGGCCCUGCUGGUGUGCCUGCUUUUGCGUGGGUGGUGCUGGUUGGGGUCGCAGAGAAUUGGGAGAAGCGACUGUUUAUUAAAAACAUAGGUGUGUGCUAAGCCGUAAGGCGCUGUAUACGCACUGACGCCUGCCCGGUGCUGGAAGGUUAAGAGGACGACUUAACUGCUUUUUUGUGGUGAAGGUUUGAAUUUAAGCCCCAGUAAACGGCGGUGGUAACUAUAACCAUCCUAAGGUAGCGAAAUUCCUUGUCGGGUAAGUUCCGACCUGCACGAAUGGCGUAACGACUUCUCCGCUGUCUCGACCGUGAUCUCGGUGAAAUUGCAGUACGAGUAAAGAUGCUCGUUUCGCGCAGCAGGACGGAAAGACCCCGGGACCUUUACUAUAGCUUGGUAUUGGUGUGUGUUUGUGCUUGUGUAGGAUAGGUGGGAGACUGUGAUGCCGUGCCGCUAGGUGUGGUGGAGUCGUUGGUGAAAUACCAUUCUGGUUCAAGUAUGCAUCUAACUUGGAGCCCUGAUCGGGUUUGGGGACAGUGCCUGGUGGGUAGUUUAACUGGGGCGGUUGCCUCCUAAAGGGUAACGGAGGCGCUCAAAGGUUCUCUCAGCCUGGUUGGUGAUCAGGUGGUGAGUGUAAGUGCACAAGAGGGCUUGACUGUGACACUGACGGGUGGAGCAGGUACGAAAGUAGGAACUAGUGAUCCGGCCAUGGCUUGUGGAAGCGUGGUCGCUCAACGGAUAAAAGGUACCCCGGGGAUAACAGGCUGAUCUUGCCCAAGAGUCCAUAUCGACGGCAUGGUUUGGCACCUCGAUGUCGGCUCGUCGCAUCCUGGGGCUGGAGUUGGUCCCAAGGGUUGGGCUGUUCGCCCAUUAAAGCGGUACGCGAGCUGGGUUUAGAACGUCGUGAGACAGUUCGGUCCCUAUCCGCUGCGCGCGUUGGAAACUUGAUGAAGGCCCGUCCCUAGUACGAGAGGACCGGGAUGGACGAACCUCUGGUGUGCCAGUUGUACUGCCAGGUGCAUUGCUGGUUGGCUACGUUCGGUUGGGAUAACCGCUGAAAGCAUCUAAGCGGGAAGCUUUCUUCGAGAUGAGGUUUCCGUGCCCCCCGUUGUGGGGGUGGGAGGUCCCCAGUAGAUGACUGGGUUGAUAGGCCAGAGGUGGAAGCAUUGUGAGGUGUUGUGAGCCGACUGGUACUAAUGGGCCGAUUCUAAACCAA
Molecule: ribosomal RNA, 2949 nt
Filed under: Veillonella sp.
Lineage: Bacteria; Bacillati; Bacillota; Negativicutes; Veillonellales; Veillonellaceae
Description: 23S ribosomal RNA
Rfam family: Bacterial large subunit ribosomal RNA
Source: RNAcentral